GACCCAAUGGUGUAAUUAAUCACGCCCGCUUUGAAUCAGCGUGUAAAGUUCUGGCGGAAGUCACCCGUUCGAGUCGGGUUUGGGUUA
Molecule: non-coding RNA, 87 nt
Organism: Mycena crocata
Lineage: Eukaryota; Fungi; Basidiomycota; Agaricomycetes; Agaricales; Mycenaceae
Source: the annotation of a GenBank genome assembly